RNAcentral lists this long non-coding RNA (1263 nucleotides) under Equus asinus (donkey). RNAcentral describes it as "lncRNA (ENSEASG00005023881.1)". The record is from RNAcentral. Lineage: Eukaryota; Metazoa; Chordata; Mammalia; Perissodactyla; Equidae.
GGAGUCUCUUCUGAUUGUCUGGUGCCUGUGUCAUUCCAGUUGUUCAGGGUUUGGAUACCAAUUCUGGGGAACUAAACCUCUGAGAGCUAAACUGGUGGAAUAUAACACAGAAAUGGAUGCAACGAGCUAUCUGCAGAAACAACCCCCAAGAGUUCUCGUAAAGAUGGAGGAAGAAGCCACAGGCCAAGAACGCUGCUGGCCUCCAGCAGCUGGAAAAGGCAAGGAAACAGAUUCUCCCCUAAGUCCUCCGGAAGCAACGCAGCCCUGCUGACACCUCGAUUUCGGCCUGAUUAUUUUAAGGAGCUCCCUUUGGAAGUACAGGAGGUCCUUGUUACUCAAUAAAAAUUUUAUCUUGAGAGAAGGCCACCAAAAUCAAUCCAUCUCAACAGGUGCUAAGAAGGAUGCCGAAUAAAUGUAAGACUACUCCAUGUUCUCAGAAGCUUAAAAAUCUUCUUGGAAGAACAAGAACCAUAUUUGAAAUAAAAAAGGAUCAAAAUAGAGAUGCUUUACAGAAUACCUCUCAGAAAGAGGAGAGCGGUUCACAUUGAAGCUUCUGGGGAAACUCUAUGGAAGAAAUAGGACAGAGCGCAGACGUUGAAGAAUGAGCUGAAUGUGGACACAUGCAGUGAGGACCUGCAGAGAAAGGGUCAGAGGUAACAGGUGGUUCAAUCUGUGGGCGAGUGAAAACCACCAUGUGCUCCUGCCUUCGUCCUGCACACCAGCUGCUCUGCCCUAUCCUGUACUCUUGUCAUCUCCUAAACAUUGUACGCCAGGCCCAGCACCACUCAUCUCACCUAUACUCACUCCUUAAGUGAUUUCUCCCAGUCUCAUGCUUUAGAUAGCCUUCCAAAUUUAUAAUUUCAGGCCCAGCCCUCCUUGAAGUCCAGACUCAUGUACCAACAGCCUGCUCAGCCUCUGUACCAGGGGGUCUAAAGGAACUUCAAACAAAACACGUGGUUGUCUUGCCACAACUACUCCUAUCAGCUCUAUCCAAAAUAUACACCAAAGAGGAUGGCUUCUCUGCACCUACACUGCUCCUGGCACCCUGAUCCCAGCUACGCGCCUUUCCCUUGCACUAGCACGUGAUCUCCCUAAGUGACCUCCCUGCUGCCAUUCUUGCUCCAGACUCUACUCUCCACGUAGCACCCACAGCCAUCCCCUUAAAUCAUGUAUCAGGUCUCGCUGCAUCCUUGCUUAAAACUAGUCAACACAGCUCUUCUGGGACACGUGUGAAACAAUUCCUGCUUCAAUGCCUACGUACUU